GUUUUUCUUUGUUAUAAAGAUGGCAUUUUUCCCCCAUUUGCCUGCUGGGUGGGAUUUCAGUCUAGAGGUGAGAUUUCAGGUUCAACAACAAAUGCGGUUCAUAUUGUAUUGAAAGUUCCAUCAAGUCGGAGGUGAGAAACAACACUUUCAGUGGAUGCGAAAAGAAAGUUCUGUGCUGGUUGUACUUUCUGGUCAUGGGAAGAUACUGGUGAAACCCGGCAUUAGAGGACAUACUUGUAGGGGCCCUGGAAAUCAGCCGGUGGUGGUAGGCUGAAGAUUUUAUUUCUGAUGGUAGACAGAUAGAUUCAAUAGCCGGAAAUUGAGGUAUGAGUUUGAUACUUAUCAGUUAUACUUUGAUUGUUCUUGUGUCAUCCAUGCAUUGCAUAAAGGAAAACUACUCCACGUAAACUUCAAUAGAAUCAGUACUUAAUUCACUCAAGCAAACAGUGAAGAAUGCUUAUAUUAUUCUGCUUUUAGAAUAUCUCACAUAAUGAAAUGUGUUAAAAAUAAAUGCACUCUAAUUAACUGCAGAAUCUAACAGGCUGGUUGCAAUUGUUUUUUAGAGAACUUUGGCAUGGUAGUGAGUGAAUAGUAGAAUGCUAGCUGUGUAGUAGUUGAUGUUAGUUAAGCUGCAUUACUGCCUUCUAAGUUCUAACAAUG
Dioscorea cayenensis subsp. rotundata (Guinea yam) is the source of this 660-nucleotide long non-coding RNA. RefSeq lists it as uncharacterized. The transcript has 3 exons. The record is from RefSeq and is a predicted model, not a curated record. Lineage: Eukaryota; Viridiplantae; Streptophyta; Magnoliopsida; Dioscoreales; Dioscoreaceae.